RNAcentral lists this ribosomal RNA (406 nucleotides) under uncultured bacterium. RNAcentral's name for it is "partial 16S ribosomal RNA". It matches the Rfam family "Bacterial small subunit ribosomal RNA", at positions 30 to 526 of the family's 1533-position model. The record is from RNAcentral.
AUUGAACGCUGGCGGCAGGCCUAACACAUGCAAGUCGAACGAGUGGCGGACGGGUGAGUAAUGUCUGGGAAACUGCCUGAUGGAGGGGGAUAACUACUGGAAACGGUAGCUAAUACCGCAUACCAUCGGAUGUGCCCAGAUGGGAUUAGCUAGAAGGUGGGGUAACGGCUCACAUAGGCGACGAUCCCUAGCUGGUCUGAGAGGAUGACCAGCCACACUGGCACGGUGACACGGUGCAGACUCCUACGCGAGGCAGCAGUGGGGAAUUUUGCACAAUGGGCGAAAGCCGGAUGCAGCCAUGCCGCGUGUAUGAAGAAGGCCUUCGGGUUGUAAAGUACUUUCAGCGGUGAGGCGUUACCCGCAGAAGAAGCACCGGCUAACUCCGUGCCAGCCGCCGCGGUAAUAC